UCUUCCGCAAUGGACGAAAGUCUGACGGAGCAACGCCGCGUGAACGAUGAAGGCCUUCGGGUCGUAAAGUUCUGUUGUUAGGGAAGAACAAGUACCAGAGUAACUGCUGGUACCUUGACGGUACCUAACCAGAAAGCCACGGCUAACUACGUGCCAGCAGCCGCGGUAAUACGUAGGUGGCAAGCGUUGUCCGGAAUUAUUGGGCGUAAAGCGUACGCAGGCGGUUUCUUAAGUCUGAUGUGAAAGCCCACGGCUCAACCGUGGAGGGUCAUUGGAAACUGGGGAACUUGAGUACAGAAGAGGAGAGUGGAAUUCCACGUGUAGCGGAGAAAUGCGUAGAGAUGUGGAGGAACACCAGUGGCGAAGGCGACUCUCUGGUCUGUAACUGACGCUGAGGUACGAAAGCGUGGGGAGCGAACAGG
This 422-nucleotide ribosomal RNA is filed under the name uncultured bacterium. RNAcentral describes it as "bacterial SSU rRNA". It matches the Rfam family "Bacterial small subunit ribosomal RNA", at positions 362 to 776 of the family's 1533-position model. The record is from RNAcentral.